RNAcentral lists this ribosomal RNA (302 nucleotides) under uncultured bacterium. Its description in RNAcentral is "partial 16S ribosomal RNA". It matches the Rfam family "Bacterial small subunit ribosomal RNA", at positions 508 to 807 of the family's 1533-position model. The record is from RNAcentral.
GCAGUCGCCGCGGUAAUACAGAGGGUGCGAGCGUUAAUCGGAUUUACUGGGCGUAAAGCGUGCGUAGGCGGCUUCUUAAGUCGGAUGUGAAAUCCCUGAGCUUAACUUAGGAAUUGCAUUCGAUACUGGGAAGCUAGAGUAUGGGAGAGGAUGGUAGAAUUCCAGGUGUAGCGGUGAAAUGCGUAGAGAUCUGGAGGAAUACCGAUGGCGAAGGCAGCCAUCUGGCCUAAUACUGACGCUGAGGUACGAAAGCAUGGGGAGCAAACAGGAUUAGAGACCCCCGUAGUCCCUGUCUCUUAUAC